GAUGAACGCUGGCUACAGGCUUAACACAUGCAAGUCGAGGGGAAACGACGGGGAAGCUUGCUUCCCCGGGCGUCGACCGGCGCACGGGUGAGUAACGCGUAUCCAACCUGCCUCUGACUGAGGACUAACCCGUCGAAAGUCGGCCUAAUACCUCAUGGCAUCGUCUGCGGGCAUCCAACGACGAUUAACGAUUUCAUCGGUCAGAGAUGGGGAUGCGUCUGAUUAGCUUGUUGGCGGGGUAACGGCCCACCAAGGCGACGAUCAGUAGGGGUUCUGAGAGGAAGGUCCCUCACAUUGGAACUGAGACACGGUCCAAACGCCUACGGGAGGCAGCAGUGAGGAAUAUUGGGAAAUGGGCGAGAGCCUGAACCAGCCAAGUAGCGUGCAGGAUGACGGCCCUAUGGGUUGUAAACUGCUUUUAUGCGGGGAGAAAGUGAGGGACGUGUCCUUCAUUGAAGGUACCGAAUGAAUAAGGACCGGCUAAUUACGUG
This 491-nucleotide ribosomal RNA is filed under the name uncultured bacterium. Its description in RNAcentral is "partial 16S ribosomal RNA". It matches the Rfam family "Bacterial small subunit ribosomal RNA", at positions 28 to 507 of the family's 1533-position model. The record is from RNAcentral.